GAUGAACGCUAGCUAUAGGCUUAACACAUGCAAGUCGAGCGACCGGCGCACGGGUGAGUAACACGUAUCCAACCUGCCCUUUACUCGGGGACAGCCUUUCGAAAGCAAGAUUAAUACCCGUUGUAAAGCAUGAGUAUGCGUUCAAUUAGGGUGUUGGUGAGGUAACGGCUCACCAAGCCUUCGAUGGUUCGGGGUUAGGUGAGGAAGGUACACCACCUUGGAACUGAUACACGGUCCAAACUCCAACGGGAGGCAGCAGUGAGGAAGAUUGGUCAAUGGGCGUUAGCCUGAACGAGCCAAGUAGCGGGUAGGAUGAAGGCUGAUGGGAAGUAAACUUCUUUUAUAUGAGAAUCUGUAUUAUAUGAAUAAGGAUCGGCUAACUCCGUGCCAGCAGCCGCGGUAAUAC
This 406-nucleotide ribosomal RNA is filed under the name uncultured bacterium. RNAcentral describes it as "partial 16S ribosomal RNA". It matches the Rfam family "Bacterial small subunit ribosomal RNA", at positions 28 to 526 of the family's 1533-position model. The record is from RNAcentral.